RNAcentral lists this unclassified non-coding RNA (16 nucleotides) under Orthobunyavirus lacrosseense. Its description in RNAcentral is "RNA (5'-R(P*UP*UP*AP*GP*UP*AP*GP*UP*AP*CP*AP*CP*UP*AP*CP*U)-3') from Orthobunyavirus lacrosseense (PDB 6Z6B, chain HHH)". The record is from RNAcentral. Lineage: Riboviria; Orthornavirae; Negarnaviricota; Bunyaviricetes; Elliovirales; Peribunyaviridae.
UUAGUAGUACACUACU